Molecule: ribosomal RNA, 1380 nt
Filed under: Triticum aestivum (bread wheat)
Lineage: Eukaryota; Viridiplantae; Streptophyta; Magnoliopsida; Poales; Poaceae
Description: partial small subunit ribosomal RNA
Source: RNAcentral
AUGGAGGUGGCGUCACUGUGCCGGCGGGUGCUCCCGACCCCGCCGGCCGUGGAGUUCGCCUCGCCGGAGGGGAGGCGGCUCUUUGCGGAGGCGCUGGAGGCCGGCACCAUGGAGGGCUUCUUCAGCCUCGUCUCCCACUUCCAGACGCAGUCGGAGCCGGCCUUCUGCGGCCUCGCCUCCAUCGCCGUCGUCCUCAACGCGCUCGCCAUCGACCCGGGCCGCCGCUGGAAGGGGCCAUGGCGGUGGUUCGACGAGUCCAUGCUCGACUGCUGCGAGCCCCUCCACGUGGUCCGCUCCCAGGGCAUCACCUUCGGCAAGGUCGUCUGCCUCGCGCGCUGCGCCGGCGCCAGCGUCCGCUGCUUCCGCGCAGACCACGCCACCGUCCACGACCUCCGCGCCCACCUCGCCCGCUGCGCCUCCUCACACGACUGCCAUCUCAUCGCCUCCUACCACAGGGGCCAUUUCAAGCAGACUGGGGGUGGCCAUUUCUCGCCAAUCGGCGGCUACCAUGCCGGGACAGACAGGGCGCUCAUCUUGGAUGUCGCGCGCUUCAAAUACCCUCCUCACUGGGUUCCACUGACACUUCUCUGGGAAGCCAUGAAUACCACUGACAAAGCAACUGGACUUCUCAGGGGGUUCAUGCUUGUCUCAAGGCACAAUUCAGCUCCUUCAUUGCUCUACACAGUGAGUUGCGGGGAUGAAAGUUGGAAAAGCAUGGCGAAAUAUUGUGUGGAAGAUGCCCCCAAUCUUUUGAAGGAUGAGAGUCCAGACAACGUCACAACACUUCUGUCCCGCCUAGUGGGAUCUCUCCCAGCCAAUGCCGGAGAUCUGAUCAAAUGUGUCGUUGAAGUCCGGAGAAAGGACGAAGGUGGGUCAUGCUUGAGCAAAGAGGGGAAAGAGAGGCUUGUUUUGAAGGAAAAGGUAUUACAGCAAGUCCGUGAUACCAAGCUUUUCAGAAUAGUCCAGGAACUGCAAUACCCCAAGCGGCUUCGUCAGGCACACACAAAUGGGGAUGGGCCAAAGAAUGUUAUCCCAGGCACCGUAGUAUCGGAAGGGAAUGAACAAGCAAAUAGUGUUGAUUUGCUUUUAUCAACAUCCCCAUCGGAAAAAAGCUUAUGCAAUCCAAACUCGACGAACGAGGCUGUUAAGUAUCCAUCAAGCACAGAUGUCCUAACUGUCCUGCUGCUGGUUUUACAUCCGAGCACAUGGUUUGGCAUAAGAGAUGAGAUAGUGAAAGCUGAAUUUCAGAGUCUUGUUUCAACAGAUGACCUUCCUGACCUUCUUAAACGGGAGGUACUGCAUCUAAAGCGGCAGCUCCAUUAUUUAACUGGUUGUGAAGGAGAGGAGGCAUCUCAAGAGCCUAUGCCACUAUCCCCUUAG